Molecule: ribosomal RNA, 646 nt
Filed under: uncultured bacterium
Lineage: Bacteria
Description: bacterial SSU rRNA
Rfam family: Bacterial small subunit ribosomal RNA (bases 1-534)
Source: RNAcentral
CCUACGGGAGGCAGCAGUAGGGAAUAUUGGGCAAUGGGCGAAAGCCUGACCCAGCCACGCCGCGUGCAGGAAGACGGCCCUCUGGGUUGUAAACUGCUUUUAACUGGGAAGAAAGCAGCCCUUGCGAGGGAAUUUGACGGUACCAGUUGAAUAAGCCACGGCUAACUACGUGCCAGCAGCCGCGGUAAUACGUAGGUGGCAAGCGUUAUCCGGAUUUAUUGGGUUUAAAGGGAGCGUAGGCGGCUUAAUAAGUCAGUGGUUAAAGGUAGCAGCUUAACUGUUUUACAUGCCACUGAUACUGUUGAGCUUGAGUUGACAGAAGGCAGAUAGAAUUUCUGGUGUAGCGGUGAAAUGCUUAGAUACCAGAAGGAAUACCGAUUGCGAAGGCAGUCUGCUGCAGUCACACUGACGCUGAGGCUCGAAGGUGCGGGGAUCAAACAGGAUUAGAUACCCUGGUAGUCCGCACAGUAAACGAUGAUUACUAGAUGUUGGCGAGAGCCAGUGUCGAACGGAAACCGGAAGUAAGUAAGUACCGACCGUACGGGGAGGUACGGCCGGCCGGUAACCGGUACGGUUAAACGUUAAAGUUAAGUUAAGUUAGUACGGCGUUGAGACGUUAGCCGACGGACGACGACGAGGGAGGAGG